CUGUAUAAAACAAGUGAGAGAUGGCUCUUCUGUAAUUUCAGUGCUACACAUAGAUUUCACCACGAUGGAUCUGGUAACGUUUGAGAAGGAGAACUGUGAGCGUAUCCAAGCCGUUGAGACUUCAUUCGGACCGGCAGGGAGGCCUCUAUCCCAGCCAGGGAGAGUUCUGGUGGGUCAGGGUCAUAAAGCAAGGACGUACUAGGAAGCCAGAGCCUAAAGUUUUCUUUCUGUUCAACGACAUGCUGGUGUACGGCAGCAUCAUCCUGAACGGCCGCUGGCACAAAAAACAGAAAGUCAUCCCUCUAGGAGGGGGGAGGGGUUCUACCAUCUUUUCUUCCCGCAUCGGAGGAGUAAGCUGGUUCUGUCCCGAGAACAUCUCUACAAGGUAAUUGGUGUGGAGAAGAUUGACCUCAGCCUUGCUUUGAACAUUCUUCCAAAGGCUCUGUAGUAAAUGUGCUACACAUAGAUUUCACCACGAUGGAUCUGGUAACGUUUGAGAAGGAGAACUGUGAGCGUAUCCAAGCCGUUGAGACUUCAUUCGGACCGGCAGGGAGGCCUCUAUCCCAGCCAGGGAGAGUUCUGGUGGGUCAGGGUCAUAAAGCAAGGACGUACUAGGAAGCCAGAGCCUAAAGUUUUCUUUCUGUUCAACGACAUGCUGGUGUACGGCAGCAUCAUCCUGAACGGCCGCUGGCACAAAAAACAGAAAGUCAUCCCUCUAGGUAAGCAGAACCCUAGAUCUAUCCGACAGAUUCAAAAGAUUCGAUUCAAAGGUUUUAUUGUCAUAUGAACAGUGUAGAAAUGGCUAUGAAAUUCUUCUGACCUGAGCUCCUCCAACAAUGCAACAUGUAUAAUAAAAUACAAAAAUACAAAAUAAAAAGUAGUGCAUUUAGUCUAUAUCUAGAUAACGAUGAUAUGAUGGAAUGUAUACCUCCGUAGAAGCUUUAGUGAUGAAGUGUUUGUUUUUGUUUUGCCUUGUUGUAACUUUAUAUUCACGUGCAAAAGAUAUCUACAACAGCAAAACAAUGGAGGUGCAUGGCAUUUAAAGUACACUGAAAAAAAGGGGAAAGUGGGGUUGUUCAAUUUGCAAAUAUGCAGUUAAUAUAUGAGACAUAAUUUAUUCAUGUUUCUCGUCGAAACAUGAAUCAAUCAUGUAGAACUAUUUUAAUCUUGAGGGCUGUACGUUCUAUAAGUCUCAAUCAUGUUAAGAAAUAAGAAAAAAGUUAUGUUUAUCUCUGUAACUCCGCCCACUGAGCACAUACGUCAGCAGCUUGCUCUGCAGCCGAUUACUCAGCUUCUAAUUAUUAUUUACAAAUAUUUUAUUCACAAAUUAACAUGGUCGGACUCAAACCCGUACUUUAAUAGUUUCGUAAUUGAACCUGAACAAUAUGGCACUUUAAUGGACAAGAUGUAAAGCAGAAAAAAAUUGCAAAAUAUAUUUAUUUUUUAAAAUGUGAAGCUUUUUAUUUUUUAAACAAAGGAGGGGGGAGGGGUUCUACCAUCUUUUCUUCCCGCAUCGGAGGAGUAAGCUGGUUCUGUCCCGAGAACAUCUCUACAAGGUAAUUGGUGUGGAGAAGAUUGACCUCAGCCUUGCUUUGAACAUUCUUCCAAAGGCUCUGUAGUAAAUGUGCUACACAUAGAUUUCACCACGAUGGAUCUGGUAACGUUUGAGAAGGAGAACUGUGAGCGUAUCCAAGCCGUUGAGACUUCAUUCGGACCGGCAGGGAGGCCUCUAUCCCAGCCAGGGAGAGUUCUGGUGGGUCAGGGUCAUAAAGCAAGGACGUACUAGGAAGCCAGAGCCUAAAGUUUUCUUUCUGUUCAACGACAUGCUGGUGU
Long non-coding RNA from Gymnodraco acuticeps, 1833 nucleotides. RefSeq lists it as uncharacterized. The transcript has 6 exons. Lineage: Eukaryota; Metazoa; Chordata; Actinopteri; Perciformes; Bathydraconidae. The record is from RefSeq and is a predicted model, not a curated record.